AUCUACGGCUAUACCACCCUGAAUGCACCUGAUCUUGUCUAAUCUCAGAAGCUAAGCAGUGUCAGGCCUGGUUAGUGCCUGGAUGCUCAAAGUG
Ribosomal RNA from Bison bison bison, 94 nucleotides. Lineage: Eukaryota; Metazoa; Chordata; Mammalia; Artiodactyla; Bovidae. The record is from Ensembl.